Molecule: ribosomal RNA, 511 nt
Filed under: uncultured bacterium
Lineage: Bacteria
Description: bacterial SSU rRNA
Rfam family: Bacterial small subunit ribosomal RNA
Source: RNAcentral
GACUCCUACGGGAGGCAGCAGUGAGGAAUAUUGGUCAAUGGGAGAGAUCCUGAACCAGCCAAGCCGCGUGAGGGAAGACGGCCCUAUGGGUUGUAAACCUCUUUUGUCGGAGAACAAAACCCGGGACGAGUCCCGGACUGCGUGUAUCCGAAGAAAAAGCAUCGGCUAACUCCGUGCCAGCAGCCGCGGUAAUACGGAGGAUGCGAGCGUUAUCCGGAUUUAUUGGGUUUAAAGGGUGCGUAGGCGGUCCGUUAAGUCAGCGGUAAAAUUGCGGGGCUCAACCCCGUCGAGCCGUUGAAACUGGCAGACUUGAGUUGGCGAGAAGUACGCGGAAUGCGCGGUGUAGCGGUGAAAUGCAUAGAUAUCGCGCAGAACUCCGAUUGCGAAGGCAGCGUACCGGCGCCACACUGACGCUGAGGCACGAAAGCGUGGGGAUCGAACAGGAUUAGAUACCCUGGUAGUCCACGCAGUAAACGAUGAAUGCUGGUUGUCCGGGUCGAAUGAGAUCUGG